This 913-nucleotide ribosomal RNA is filed under the name uncultured archaeon. Its description in RNAcentral is "bacterial SSU rRNA". It matches the Rfam family "Archaeal small subunit ribosomal RNA", at positions 30 to 922 of the family's 1478-position model. The record is from RNAcentral.
CUAUCGAGAUGGGACUAAAGGUAUGCUAGUCGAACGACCAGAACUAUGUCUGGGAGUGGCACACUGCUCAGUAACACGUAGCUAACCUACCCUUAGGACGUGGAUACCCCCGAGAAAUUGGGGUUAAUCCGCGAUAGAUGUAAUGUCCUGGAAUGGUAUUACGUCUAAAGGUAUUUCAUACAUGUUUGGUAUAUGCCUAAGGAUGGGGCUGCGGCCGAUCAGGCUGUUGGUGAGGUAAUGGCUCACCAAACCUUUGACCGGUACGGGCCAUGAGAGUGGUAGUCCGGAGAUGGACACUGAGACAAGGGUCCAGGCCCUACGGGGCGCAGCAGGCGCGAAACCUCCUCAAUGCACUAACGUGCGAAGGGGUUACCUCGAGUGCCACCUGAAGAAGGUGGCUUUUCCUUGGUCUAAAAAGCCUAGGGAAUAAGAGGGGGGCAAGACUGGUGUCAGCCGCCGCGGUAACACCAGCCCCUCGAGUGGUGGGGAUGAUUAUUUGGCCUAAAGCGUCCGUAGCCGGCCGGGUAAGUUUCCCGUUAAAUCCAGCGUCUCAAGCGUUGGACUGCGGGAAAUACUGCCUGGCUAGAGAGUGGGAGAGGUCAGCGGUAUUCUGGGGGUAGGGGCGAAAUCCUUUGAUCCCCGGAGGACCACCAGUGGCGAAGGCUGCUGACUAGAACGCGUCUGACGGUCAGGGACGAAAGCUGGGGUAGCGAACCGGAUUAGAUACCCGGGUAGUCCCAGCCGUAAACGAUGCAUGCUAGGUGUUGGGUUGGCCACGAGCCACCCCAGUGCCGCAGGGAAGCCGUUAAGCAUGCCGCCUGGGAAGUACGAUCGCAAGGUUGAAACUUAAAGGAAUUGGCGGGGGAGCACCACCAGGCGUGAAGCCUGCGGUUUAAUUGGAUUCAACGCCGGA